CUUCCUGUACUCAGUGGGGGAUGCAGAACAGCUGAACAAGGCCACAAUUUGCCGCACAAUAAGGAGUGUGUGUCUGGCUAUCAAAGCAUUAGCAGAUGUCUUCAUCUCCUUCCCUGGCCACAGAAGACUCUGUGACAUCAAAGAGGAGUUCUAUAGGAUUGCAGAUGGUCUGCAAUGCUGACUGUGUGAUCAGCAAUGUUGUGGCAAAAUGGCCUGGCUCAGUCCAUGACUCCAGAAUCUUUCGGGCCUCUGAAAUCUAUCAGUGCCUAUCACAAGGUGAAUUCUCUGGUGUGUUGCUGGGAGACAGGGG
Long non-coding RNA from Oncorhynchus gorbuscha (pink salmon), 310 nucleotides. RefSeq lists it as uncharacterized. NCBI's taxonomy places the organism in Eukaryota, Metazoa, Chordata, Actinopteri, Salmoniformes, Salmonidae. The record is from RefSeq and is a predicted model, not a curated record. The transcript has 3 exons.